RNAcentral lists this ribosomal RNA (1019 nucleotides) under Malassezia japonica. RNAcentral describes it as "SSU rRNA". It matches the Rfam family "Bacterial small subunit ribosomal RNA", at positions 428 to 1533 of the family's 1533-position model. Lineage: Eukaryota; Fungi; Basidiomycota; Malasseziomycetes; Malasseziales; Malasseziaceae. The record is from RNAcentral.
UAACUCGAAUUAAGUAGAGUGUCGUAAGGGAGGAUGAUGACGUUACCUUACUAUUAGUCCAAUCUAAGUCUCGUGCCAGCAGACGCGGUUAUACGAACUGGGCAAAAGUUGAAUAAAUUAAUAGGUUUUAAGGAUCCGUAGGUUGUUAGUGAACUAACUUGAAUUCUAUAGAGGAAAAUAGAAUGCUAGAAGUAGGGAUGAUAUCCGUUGAGAUCUAGUGGAAUACUAAUGGCGAAAGCAAUUUUCCAAGUAAGAAUUGACGCUGAGGGAUGAAAGUUUGGGGAGCGAACCAGAUUAGCUACCUGAGUAGUCCAAACCGUAAACUAUUUACACUAAUUCUUUGGUUUAGUAGAAAUACUAUAAAAUAAUCAGAGAAAAAGCAAAAGGCUGUAUGUGUAACACCUUGUUAGUAAUGUCUCAAGACUGAAAGCAAAAAGAUUAGACCAUCCUUAAGAACCGGUGUGGAGCAUGUUGUUUAAUACGACAAUACGCGUAGAACCUUACCUCUCCUUGUAUGUUAAAUAGAUAUUAAGCAAUUAAUAACUAUUUUUCACAGGUGUUGCAUGGCUGUCGGCAGUUCGUGUCGUAAGAUGUUAGGUUGAGUCCGCCAACGAACGCAAUCCAUAAUAGGGAUUAAUUUCUCUCUAUUAUCACUUCGAUAAGAAGGAUCAAAAUGGAAUACGAUAAGCCCUCAUGACCCUUAUGGAGUAUGGGCAACAGACGUGCUACUUGAACCUUACAAUAAGAUGCAAAAUCGAGAGAUUGAGCAAAUCUAUGAAAUAAGGUCUAAUAAGGAUUGUAGACUGAAACUCGUCUACAUGAAUCAGGAAUACCGAGUAAUCGUUUAUCAGUACGGAACGGUGAACCAUUCUAUUAAGGAGAUACUAACUGUCUAUCACAUCUCGGUUAUGCUUAGAAAUGGAACUAAGUUCUAUUGAACUUAGGACAUCAUAAGUGGAACUGAGGUGAAGUUAUAGCAAGGUAGCCGUAAGGGAACUUGUGGCUGAUUGAUAAUAUAC